GACGAACGCUGGCGGCGUGCUUAAUACAUGCCAGUCGAGCGAACGGACGAGAAGCUUGCUUUUCUGUUGUUUGCGGCGGACGGGUGUGUAACACGUGGAUAACCUACCUAUAAGUCUGGGAUAUUUUCGGGAAACCGGAGCUAAUACCGGAUAAUAUUUUGAACCGCAUGGUUCAAAAGUGAAAGACGGUCUUGCUGUCACUUAUAGCUGGUUCCGCGCUGCAUUAGCUAGUUGGUAAGGUAACGGCUUACCAAGGCAACGAUGCAUAGCCGACCUGAGAGGGUGAUCGGCCACACGGGAACUGAAACACGGUCCAGACUCCUACGGGAGGCAGCAGUAGGGAAUCAUCCGCAAUGGGCGAAAGCCUGACGGAGCAACGCCGCGUGAGUGAUGAAGGUCUUCGGAUCGUAAAACUCUGUUAUUAGGGAAGAACACAUGUGUAAGUAACUGUGCACAUCUUGACGGUACCUAAUCAGAAAGCCACGGCUAACUACGUG
RNAcentral lists this ribosomal RNA (497 nucleotides) under uncultured bacterium. RNAcentral describes it as "partial 16S ribosomal RNA". It matches the Rfam family "Bacterial small subunit ribosomal RNA", at positions 28 to 507 of the family's 1533-position model. The record is from RNAcentral.